GCCUAGGUAGCUUAGUUGAUAGUGUGUCUGCCUUGUAAGCGCUAGGCCGCGGGUUCGAUUCCCGCCCGGGGCG
RNAcentral lists this transfer RNA (73 nucleotides) under Diaphorina citri (Asian citrus psyllid). It matches the Rfam family "tRNA". From Rfam's summary of the family: Transfer RNA (tRNA) molecules are approximately 80 nucleotides in length. Their secondary structure includes four short double-helical elements and three loops (D, anti-codon, and T loops). Further hydrogen bonds mediate the characteristic L-shaped molecular structure. tRNAs have two regions of fundamental functional importance: the anti-codon, which is responsible for specific mRNA codon recognition, and the 3' end, to which the tRNAs corresponding amino acid is attached (by aminoacyl-tRNA synthetases). tRNAs cope with the degeneracy of the genetic code in two manners: having more than one tRNA (with a specific anti-codon) for a particular amino acid; and 'wobble' base-pairing, i.e. permitting non-standard base-pairing at the 3rd anti-codon position. The record is from Rfam by way of RNAcentral. Lineage: Eukaryota; Metazoa; Arthropoda; Insecta; Hemiptera; Psyllidae.